GUUAGGAAGUGUCCCAAAUUCCUAAUUAGUAUAGAUUCCUUUUUUUGUAAAGAAUAUUAUAUAGAAUAUUUCUAGGUUGAUAUAUUAUUGUAAUAUUAGACUUCCUUAUAGAAUAAGGAAGGUUGUUGGAAAUAUCUCUAUAAAUAUUCUAGGUCAUGAGGGAAAAAAGUUAUGAGAUGGAGAUGGGCCUAUAGAGACUAUACGAGGUGGAUAGAGAUGUGAGGAAGAACGGGAGGUACCUGGUGGAGCGAGAGGGCUCGUAGUAAGGUAUGGAUACAAGGAGUGGGGAAACAUGGGAUGUUUCGGGAACCCAAUAGUUGUAUCUGGUUCUAUCCUCUGUAAUAUUCUUUAUUGUAUAGUGGAAUUAUUCUCUCUCAUCCGUGGACGUAGGCAUGGUUGGCCGAACCACGUUAAAACCUCGUGUACCGUAUGUGUGAUUGUUUUAUCUUUGUGUUCUUGAACUAACAUUGUUGACAUCAAAGCUUUCGUUGGCACAACAACUGGUAUCAGAGCUUGGGUUGAAGAUUUCUGGAAGAGUAAAAGAUCACAAAGCACACAAGAUGAAAACAAAAGGAAUUUUCACUGAAGGUGGAGUCGAUUGCUCUUUCGUGGUGAUAUGAUACAAAAAGGUUUGUGUCAUGGAGAGAUUGAAGAUUAACUUCAUGUAAUUUGGUCCAAGGUGGAGAUUGUUAGGAAGUGUCCCAAAUUCCUAAUUAGUAUAGAUUCCUUUUUUUGUAAAGAAUAUUAUAUAGAAUAUUUUUAGGUUGAUAUAUUAUUGUAAUAUUAGACUUCCUUAUAGAAUAAGGAAGGUUGUUGGAAAUAUCUCUAUAAAUAUUCUAGGUCAUGAGGGGAAAAAGUCAUGAGAUGGAGAUGGACCUAUAGAGACUAUACGAGGUGGAUAGAGAUGUGAGGAAGAACGGGAGGUACCUGGUGGAGCGAGAUGACUCGUAGUAAGGUAUGGAUACAAGGAGUGGGGAAACAUGGGAUGUUUCGGGAACCCAAUAGUUGUAUCUGGUUCUAUCCUCUGUAAUAUUCU
This 1036-nucleotide long non-coding RNA is filed under the name Vitis vinifera (wine grape). RNAcentral's name for it is "long non-coding RNA (VVIN_LNC005008)". Lineage: Eukaryota; Viridiplantae; Streptophyta; Magnoliopsida; Vitales; Vitaceae. The record is from RNAcentral.